AUAAUGAUAUGGGACGUCCUUUUUAAACCAAACAUGAUAUGAUCUGCAUACAACUAAAAGUUUGAAUAUCGACUUAUAUAAAUUUGUCUUAUUCCAAAUUAUUGAAUAUAUUAUAUCAGUAAUAAAAUACACAUUUAUCGAUGUCACUUUCAUACACGUUUUAAUGAAGUACAACUGUUUUUUUCGAGGCAAUUGCGAAAGUGCCGACAACACUUAUUUGUUGCAAUAUUUUUUGACCGAACCCGAAAAACACAUGGCCAAGACCCGACAUGGAGCUCAUUUUUUCCCGAACAAAUACAAGAAUGUGAUUAACAAACCCUCGCCGUUUUCAUUUGACAUGCUACCCGUGUUUUUUUUUUUUAAAAAAAAUCAAAAAAAUAAAACAAAACCUAAACAAACCCUCGCCGUUUUCAUUUGACAUAUUCAUUCUCUCAACCCUAAACAAACUCACUCACUCGUCGCCUCCUAUCCGUCGUUGGCUCGUCGGUCGUAUGUUCGUCGCUUCUUCUCAGUCGUCGGUCGUCGCAUCUUCUCAGUCGUCGGCUUUUCACUUCCUCUUAGUGGUCGCCUCCUCUCAGUCGUCGCCGUUGGUCGUCGCGUCGUCGGAGUCUCAGAGAAAAUCAGAAAAUGUUUGAACUUUGAAUAAAUCGGCCGAGUUCUCCGAGCCUCAGUUAGUCCGAUUUCGACAGGCAGUUCACAGAAAGAAUCACAGUUGUUCAGUAACAGAAAUCCAGAAGCGGAAGGGCCAAACUAAUCAAGUCCAUCAAGCAGUGAGUCAUGAAUUUCCCUAAAAUUAUGUGUUCAUGGUGUCAUAUUGGAGCUGUCAAAUUAAGGAAAAUAAGGUGGUUUUCAUGUAAGUUUCUAAUUAUUUUAAUGAAGUUCAAAAUUCAAGAUAUCAUGAAUAGAUAUUUAUAGUUACUAUAACGGUUGUAAAUAAUGGUGAAUAAAAUUGCUACCUGAAUCCUUCUAGUUGUGGCUUUGAUGCUGUUAAAUAAGUAUUUUUAGUCAAUCUGGAAAGGUUUGUGCUGCUGACUUGCUGAUGUUUGUUUUUGCACGAUCAUUGUUGUUCAUGUACUUAAUCUUGUGUUAUUGCAGCGGUUGCGAUGCUUUUUAGUUGUUUACGGUGCAAGUUGUCGUGCCAUUGCGUGCUACUACUACCGGCUAAGCCAAUUUAUGUACAAGUUAUUACAACUUUGUUAAACUAAUAUUUGUUAUUAAACUAAUAUUUACUAUAUGCAUGUGUUGCAGGUGCUUGCGGAAUCCAACUAUUCAAACAAUUGAAGAAUAAUAUGAGGAAGAAAAUAGCAUGACACUAACAAAGACUGAGGCAAUUGAAAAAUGGAAUGACACUAUUCAAACUAUUAGAUAUCUUUUUUUUUCUCUCUUGUAGUUUCCAAUUUCUUUUUAGUGUAACAAUUGUGAACAACCAACUAGACAUGUUAGUUGAUUAAGGUGUUUAUAUAAAUGACAAUUAUUUUUUAUCUAUAUAGUAGCUUUUUAUUGAUUCAUUAAAUUAUUUUGUUUGUUUACUUUUAGUAUUAA
Molecule: long non-coding RNA, 1542 nt
Organism: Beta vulgaris subsp. vulgaris (sugar beet)
Lineage: Eukaryota; Viridiplantae; Streptophyta; Magnoliopsida; Caryophyllales; Amaranthaceae
Exons: 4
Source: RefSeq, a predicted model, not a curated record